Molecule: ribosomal RNA, 1311 nt
Filed under: Shigella sonnei
Lineage: Bacteria; Pseudomonadati; Pseudomonadota; Gammaproteobacteria; Enterobacterales; Enterobacteriaceae
Description: partial 23S ribosomal RNA
Rfam family: Bacterial large subunit ribosomal RNA
Source: RNAcentral
CUGAAUAUGGGGGGACCAUCCUCCAAGGCUAAAUACUCCUGACUGACCGAUAGUGAACCAGUACCGUGAGGGAAAGGCGAAAAGAACCCCGGCGAGGGGAGUGAAAAAGAACCUGAAACCGUGUACGUACAAGCAGUGGGAGCACGCUUAGGCGUGUGACUGCGUACCUUUUGUAUAAUGGGUCAGCGACUUAUAUUCUGUAGCAAGGUUAACCGAAUAGGGGAGCCGAAGGGAAACCGAGUCUUAACUGGGCGUUAAGUUGCAGGGUAUAGACCCGAAACCCGGUGAUCUAGCCAUGGGCAGGUUGAAGGUUGGGUAACACUAACUGGAGGACCGAACCGACUAAUGUUGAAAAAUUAGCGGAUGACUUGUGGCUGGGGGUGAAAGGCCAAUCAAACCGGGAGAUAGCUGGUUCUCCCCGAAAGCUAUUUAGGUAGCGCCUCGUGAAUUCAUCUCCGGGGGUAGAGCACUGUUUCGGCAAGGGGGUCAUCCCGACUUACCAACCCGAUGCAAACUGCGAAUACCGGAGAAUGUUAUCACGGGAGACACACGGCGGGUGCUAACGUCCGUCGUGAAGAGGGAAACAACCCAGACCGCCAGCUAAGGUCCCAAAGUCAUGGUUAAGUGGGAAACGAUGUGGGAAGGCCCAGACAGCCAGGAUGUUGGCUUAGAAGCAGCCAUCAUUUAAAGAAAGCGUAAUAGCUCACUGGUCGAGUCGGCCUGCGCGGAAGAUGUAACGGGGCUAAACCAUGCACCGAAGCUGCGGCAGCGACGCUUAUGCGUUGUUGGGUAGGGGAGCGUUCUGUAAGCCUGCGAAGGUGUGCUGUGAGGCAUGCUGGAGGUAUCAGAAGUGCGAAUGCUGACAUAAGUAACGAUAAAGCGGGUGAAAAGCCCGCUCGCCGGAAGACCAAGGGUUCCUGUCCAACGUUAAUCGGGGCAGGGUGAGUCGACCCCUAAGGCGAGGCCGAAAGGCGUAGUCGAUGGGAAACAGGUUAAUAUUCCUGUACUUGGUGUUACUGCGAAGGGGGGACGGAGAAGGCUAUGUUGGCCGGGCGACGGUUGUCCCGGUUUAAGCGUGUAGGCUGGUUUUCCAGGCAAAUCCGGAAAAUCAAGGCUGAGGCGUGAUGACGAGGCACUACGGUGCUGAAGCAACAAAUGCCCUGCUUCCAGGAAAAGCCUCUAAGCAUCAGGUAACAUCAAAUCGUACCCCAAACCGACACAGGUGGUCAGGUAGAGAAUACCAAGGCGCUUGAGAGAACUCGGGUGAAGGAACUAGGCAAAAUGGUGCCGUAACUUCGGGAGAAGGCACGC